RNAcentral lists this long non-coding RNA (506 nucleotides) under Bos taurus (domestic cattle). Its description in RNAcentral is "long non-coding RNA NONBTAT021710". The record is from RNAcentral. Lineage: Eukaryota; Metazoa; Chordata; Mammalia; Artiodactyla; Bovidae.
GGGGGAAACUCUAAAUUAUUUUCCAAUGAAUUAGAAUUCCUUCACACAAGUUCAUUUAAGUAGAAACAUAAGCUAUUAACCAUGAUAUUUAUGUUUAAAACAUAUAUGUGCUUGUUUAUGUAAUUUGUACAAAAAAAAGAAAAGAUUCAUACAGUUCAGUUACAUCUCAUGGAAUAUAAGCCAUACUUCUGCAAGUACAGAUUCUCACAUUCACAGGAAAAAUUGAAAACCAGUCAUAAUUAAAUGCUUAUAGAUUUCUACAUAUACAAUUUCAGUAAUUGUUUAAUAAAACACUCAGCGAUUUGAGUGCCUAGUUGACCUUACUUGUAUAAGUUCCAAGUGUUGAACAUAGCAUGGUUUUCUUGAUACUUGUCUCUUUUUUCAUUGUUCCUUUUCAUUGGGACAUUUAUGACUGAUCAUACCCUGCCAAUGGAGAUCUUUUACUUAAUUCAAGAUUAUCAGAGGAAAGGCAAAGUUCCUCUCAAAAUUUAUAAAAAUCUCAACUA